AGGACGAACGCUGGCGGCGUGCUUAAUACAUGCAAGUCUAAGGGUUUACCUUCCUUCGGGAAGGUAGACACUGGCGCACGGGUGAGUAACACGUAAGUCAUCUGCCCUUGGGUCUGGCACAACUCCGGGAAACCGGGGCUAAUUCCAGAUGAUACCGAAAGGUCAAAGUUUCGACGCCCAAGGAUGAGCUUGCGUCUGAUUAGCUAGUUGGCGGGGUAAUGGCCCACCAAGGCGACGAUCAGUAGCCGGUCUGAGAGGAUGAUCGGCCACAUUGGGACUGAGACACGGCCCAGACUCCUACGGGAGGCAGCAGUAAGGAAUAUUGCGCAAUGGACAAAGUCUGACGCAGCAACGCCGCGUGCAGGAUGACGGCCCUUUGGUUGUAAACUGCUGUAGCAGGGAAUAAGAGCCCGCUCGGUGGUGUGAAGGUACCCUAGAAAGUUAAGCUCCGGCUAACUACGUGCCAGCAGCCG
This 473-nucleotide ribosomal RNA is filed under the name uncultured soil bacterium. Its description in RNAcentral is "bacterial SSU rRNA". It matches the Rfam family "Bacterial small subunit ribosomal RNA", at positions 26 to 517 of the family's 1533-position model. The record is from RNAcentral.